AUGCGGCGGCCCCGCACCGCGCCCGACCCCGCAGCCCCGCGGGCCGCUCCCCCACCCCAAAGCUGCUAUUUACGGGGCUUUCGCGUUUUCUUGCAAAUCGAGACCAAAAAAAAAAAAAAGAAAAAAAAAAAAAAGAGAGAGAGAGAAAGAGAGAGAGGGAAAAAAAAGAAAAAGAGAUGUAGAGAGCAAAACAAUUCUGGGCUGCAAAGCGCCCGGCGGGGCGGGCAGCGGCGGAGCGGCUCCGGGAGCUGCUGGCCGCCCGCUCCGCACGGGAACGGCAGGGACAGGGACAGGGCGGGGGGCACGGCCGGCCGCAGCCCUGAGUGCCGCCGCGGGAGCCACGUGAAGACAGCCAUGAAGCACACACAUCCUACAGAAUGACUGUGAUAUGGACUACAGUUCUUCACACUGACAGUAUGAGAAGAAAGAAGAAACAGUGAUGAAUUCACCCUGCAUAUUAAGGAUCUCUACCACCUCCCCCCCAUUAACCCCUGCCUUACAUCCUCAUCCUGCACCUCUGGAAGCUCAUUUGUUAGUGCAGUAUCAUGGGUUCUCUUUAGUGACUCAACUCAGGGUGCUGGUUGGAGGCAGCUGGGUGCUCCCUCCAUAUAACAUGUGUCCCAGCCCAGGCUGAGGGAGCAAAACCUGCUCCCUCUGGACUCUGUAUCCAUGCAAGCAGAAUGACAAAACAUUUGUUGUAAAAGUUUGCGAAGAAUUGCUGCAGUUUUUUGGAGUCUGAUAAGACUGUGAAUGGGAACAAAAAGCCUCACUGACACAGCACAAGAAUUAAUCAUCUUGAAUCAUAAUAAUUUGUCAUAGGAAAAAAAAAAAAAAACACUGAGAUCAAAGGCAAUUUUACAGGAGUGAUUAUUCUGACAGAUGUGGCAUGUGGAGCUGUGGGUAUUACAGCACGCAGCAUGGAAGUGCCAGCCUAUGGGAAAUGUGCAUGCUGCUAUCAGAAGGGCAUGCACUAGAAAGUAAAACAUUCAGAUGAAUUUUUCAGCCAAGUGGUAGACAUUAUUGCAGCCGAUGGCAAGUGUUUACCUGACAGAAAAGCAGUAUGUGCUACUUCAUGUUGGACAGUGAUGCCCAAACCAAUGCAGUACGAGAAUCUUAAGUCAUUCACAAUGACAGAAAAGCCAAAGGAAAAAGACAGAAGCCCAUUACUCGGUAUAACUAUGUUCUACAGCUUCCUCAGGAGAAUGUCUUCAUCAGGGAAGCAAAGGAGAAAAAAAGCUUAAGAAAAAUCUCAGAAUUUUCCAUAGCAUAGUGACAAAUUGCACCUUUUCCAGUUUGUUAGCUAUUAUAUAUAUCUCCGGUAGGGAAAGGAUCAGUGGUACAUAUUUAUCUUUCUCCACUUACCCUAGGAUGAAAGUCUGUAGAAAAGUACAUGUGCCUUCUAGCACAGAGUGGCUGGUGCUGUAUAUUCCCUGCAUCUGUUGCCAGUAUAGAGGAAAAAAUUAUAUGGGAUUUUGUUUAAAAGGAAUGAAAAGAUUAUUUACCCUAUGCUGAAUAAAAAUACUGAGAAGAACA
Molecule: long non-coding RNA, 1533 nt
Filed under: Phasianus colchicus (ring-necked pheasant)
Lineage: Eukaryota; Metazoa; Chordata; Aves; Galliformes; Phasianidae
Description: lncRNA (ENSPCLG00000012439.1)
Source: RNAcentral